AUGAUGCACACAGCCGCCGCAAACACCCCCAUAAUCACAAGUUUAUAUUUGCCAUUUGUUGUUGUUGAUGCUACUCAUACUGGUUGCAAACUACUCAUGUUUCAUGUCUGCUGCAUCAUUCCCCCCUUGCUGAGCAUUCAAAUUCUCUCUUUCUCAGUGGAUGAAAUAAAUGCAGUAAAGUUUUGUACUGAGAAAUUUGAUCAAAUGAAAAGGCUCCCUACACUAGGCAGUCGAAUUAGUACUACAUUUCCAGUACAAGUUGCUACAAUUCCUCAACUUGGAGUGAAAAACCACACGGGCAGCGUUUUGUCCGCACAAAUGUCUCUUCGUCGAAGCUCUGAUCUUCCACGGGAAACUCAUGCUCAUGGUCAUGAGCAGAGAAACGAGGAUCUGGCAGCCGAUCCGCGCGUGUACGAUGAUUGGUCGUGGUCGCUCCGGAGCAUUGGCUAUCACUGGUGCUUUUCUGGGGAUUAUCAACUUUAG
This 483-nucleotide ribosomal RNA is filed under the name Triticum aestivum (bread wheat). RNAcentral describes it as "partial small subunit ribosomal RNA". The record is from RNAcentral. Lineage: Eukaryota; Viridiplantae; Streptophyta; Magnoliopsida; Poales; Poaceae.